This 6944-nucleotide long non-coding RNA is filed under the name Homo sapiens (human). RNAcentral's name for it is "non-protein coding LINC01833:23". The record is from RNAcentral. Lineage: Eukaryota; Metazoa; Chordata; Mammalia; Primates; Hominidae.
AACUUUUUGAAAGCAGCUCGUGACCCCGAAACUGCAUCCCCCGGAGCCGGGGACCCAGGCGCCGGGCGGGCGGGUGAACCCGGUCAGUCCCCUCCCCGUCCCCGAAACCCCCGCCUCCGGGUGGUGGCGACCUGGCCUCUCCCUGCCACUGCCCGGCCAGCCCCGGAGGGAGGCUGGGCAGGUGCUGCGGGCUCUGCCGAAAGCGCUGAAAUAAAAAACCAUCGCCACUCAGGGAGAACUGAGGCAAGUGGGGCUGAGACUCUGGCGACACCCCCGCCCCCCAGCCUCUGCCCCAGCGCCUGCCGCCCUGCCGCCCUGCCGCACCCCGCCUGCUUGGGUGGCGACCGCGGUUCCGGAACGCGAAGCAGGGCAGAGGGCUGCAGAGAGGCGUGUAGCUUUGUGCGCCAGGACCCGGUGGGGCAGGUGGCAGCCCCGGGCUGUCCGCGCCUCCCAGCAGAGCCGAGCUCGGCGCCGCCCACCGAGCCCACCUCGCGGUCCAGCCGCCGCCAGCGCCUUUCGGCUCUGGCCUGAAGCAGUACUCCCGCCUCCUGGAGCGGCCGCCCGAUCCUAGCGCGGAGCUGCGAGCCUGACCGGCCGCGUCUGGCAUGGUCAGAGAAAGAAUUUUCUUUUCCCAACUCCGGCUUUUGGUUUUGUGUGUCCACCUUGCGCAACUCCGGAGCCAGCCGACCCCACAUGGAUUCUCAACAGGUGGCCGGGUAAGUCCGUUUAAAGAAUUCUGGUUAUAUGGUCAGCCCCUCCCCGACCUUCUUCCUUUUCCCCUCCCUCUUCCCCCUUUGGCUGGGCCGGGUUCCCCGUGCUCCUCCCGCAGGCGACGGCUGGGGUGGUGGUGGGGGAAGAGGCGCCCUUCCCCUGGGGGUCUCUGGGCUCCGAGUUGCAGCCCAGGAAGCCUGGCGGGCGGCCCCCAAGGAGUUCCACCCGGUACCCCCAAGUCCCGAUCACUCUUAGCUCCUUGGUCUGGGCCCUGGCGCCCUGAGAGGGGGAGGGAGAAAGAACGCGCAGCAGCACCUCAAAAGCCGAAGUCCCCGGGAAGGGGGACAGGGGACCCGGUGGCCGGGCAGCCUUUGUGUGGGGGUUUACGGCGGAAACAGAACUAUUCUUCUUGUGUGAGAGGCCCGGGAUGUGGCCAGGGGGAGCCCGCGCCAGCCGUACAAUAGCCGGCAGAAGAGCGCCUCAGCAGCCGGGGUAGGAGUGGGGUAGGGUGGGGUAGACCUGGGUGGGGGAGGGGAGGGCGAGAGAAGAGGGAGGGGAAGCAGAGAAAGGCAAAGGCGAGAAAUCCAGGGCGUCCGAGUGAAAAGUCGGAAAAUGUUUCCAGAGCGCGCCACAAACAGGCGCGCGCGCGCGCUUGCGGGCGCAUAGUCUCUCUGUCUCUCUCUCGCACACACACAAACACACUCUUACAUGCUCACACUCAUUCCACACAUGGAGCCCACGCACGCGGUUCCUAGUCGUGCAGGGUCGCAUGCCUGGGCACCCAAAGUGAACGCAGAGUAGAGCCGCCCUCCCACCCCCACCAACGGAGAGCCCUCCCGCCCAGCCACAGGCUCCCCGACUGGGGAGCUAGGAGGGCCCCCGGGGCUGGGGCACAGGGAGGAUCUUACCUGCCGAAAGGUAAGGGAAGCCGGGAGCACGGAGCAGCGGCGGAUAAAUAUUCAUUAGUAAGUCUCUCCUUUUAAGCCGCGCGGUGCGCUCUCUGGCUCCUAUCUCUCUUUCCCUCCCUCCCUCUGUCCUCUUGUGAGCCUCUCUCCCCCUCUCGCUCUGUCUUCCCCCCACCCCUUCCUGCGAAAUGCCGGGUGGAUCCCAGUAUAGCUAACCUGUUGGGAAGCCUGAGCCGCGGGCAGCGCCUCCACAGCUGUUUGCUUUUGCUCUUGGGGCGCGCGUUUCCCCAUCCUCUCCCCUCUCUCCUUUUGCCCAGCCCCUCUCCCCCUCCUAAAUUACUACAUCAUUAGCUUUAUUUGGUGGGGGGACAGCUCAGCCAAACGCACCUCCCUAUAGCAGGGUGAAAAGCCGCUGCUCCCCGAGGCAGCCCCAACUCCACCCCUACCCCUGCCUCACCCAUCUCCAUGUCCCUACCCAGUUUUGUUUAUUUUUCUUCUCUCUUUCCAUCUUCACUUCCGUCCUGUACCGACCCAACUCCCUUACCAUUCCUCCCUUCCUCGUCGCUGCCAAUACGGAUCCCAGACGGGGUCGGGGCAGGGAGAUGCCAAGUGAGUAGGUCCAAUAUGCCAAGGUCGGGACUCCACCCUGCCAUGGGCGUGGGGGUAGUCCUCCAGGUCCCCCUUUCCCACGUAGGCUUUCCACCCUGACCCUAAGUGGGUACCGGGGCAGCUUGGGCCUUGGGAUCAGAGCACCAGGGCGCACAGCAAGGGCCUCAGCCCUCCAGGCCUCAGCGACCUGGAGCCUGGGUCCUUUGACCCGGUCUGGGAGACUGCAUGGCGGAGGGGAGGUGGCUUCACUUUGUACGAAUGCUCAGGAGAGACACAACCACCGACCAUCGGACUGACGUUCUCCCUUUUCAAACAAACUGACCUUAAGUCAGCAGUAAGUCUGCAUCAUUCUCACGAGAAAACACAUCUACAAGAUUCUAGAAAUGCACAAGGAACCGCUUCUAGUCGCGCGUGAACACGUGCACACACACCACACCCCUCACCCCCACACACCCGAGGCCACCGUUCCCGCUGGCCUCUGAAACCUGUAGGCGCGCAGGCCCGAAAGGCUAAUUCUAGCGGAGGAAUACAUCGCAAAACCGCCCCAGGAGAGCCCUGGCCACUCUUGUUGGCCCCCAUUCUUCCAGAUCCAGGCCUCUAGGAUGCCCCAGGGACCCUGAAGGAUGGUGAGGCCCCAGGGUGCUUGGGGGUGGUCCGGGAAGCUCACUCUGGCAGCCCGCUGAGCGCUGCGUGUUGAGGUAGGAGCUGGAGGAGGGGCCAAGGGAGGCGGGCCCAGGCCAAUUCCAAGUUACAAAUACAGCUGCUCCUGCGAGGCCUAGGAGAGUUUUGCCCCAAAACGUGCAUAUCAUUCGCCCCGAGACGCCAUGACCUCCCCAGACAUAGCCCCAGGGCGCACUCGACCUCGAGGUGGCUUGGGUGAUGGGAGCAAUCGAGAGCCAGGAGACGACCUCGAGACCUCCGCCCGCCCAUUCAGCCCGGCCCAGCCACAGUCCACCGAGAGACGCCCUAGAUGAUGGUCCUAUCCUUCCCAAAGGGUGGCAAGGCGCAGGAUCGCGGAGGGUCUCCCUCCUUGUCCUGAAAGGUUAAGAAAUUGGGCAGAUGAAGGUAUUUAAAAGAGGCCUAGAGGGCCCUGGGGCCGAAAGCCCUAUCAACCUCACACUCCACCCAAAGUCCCGCGUUUGCACGUGCACACCUCCUUCUCCCCAUGCAGACCCAGGGGGUCGCGCACGUUUGAGCUCAGACUCAAGCUGAGUCACCUGACUAUGCCUGGAACGUACAGGCAAUCGUACCGAAUACACAUGGGAGAAUUAAAGGAACACUACGGGAGAAUUAAAGGAACACUAACAGGAAUUUGAGGAAUAAAGAAGUGCCCACAGGCAUAAUUAUUUGAAUACACGGGUGCACACCCUGUUGUCCAGAUGCAGACAAAAGCCACAGUGCCUGCGAGGAGUGACCCCAACCACAAGGGCAGAUGUACAGGAAGCCGUGAACGGGAGAGUUCGCCGAAUGAGGACGCAGGCCGCAAGGCCAAGGGGGCUUCCUGCUAGAGGGACGUUGGCUCGGAGGGAGAAACUUUGUUGAGCCGACUGGGUGAAAGGUUUCAGGUCAAGUCCUGGCCACUAGAAAGAACCAAGGCCUCAUCCACUCAGAGCCAACCUUUUAGCCUUCCUCUCAGCUCUGUUGGAGAUACCCAGAAAAGGACAAUCCAGGAAAGAUUCAUUUUGACCGAGAUUGUUUUUAUUGUUUAUUUCUUAUUAUUUUUGACCUAGGGGUUUGCAUUCUGAAAAAGGAUUUGGGUGGCGCGUAUGCAAGUUCUCACUCACUGCUGGGAGAUUCAUAAUUCUUAAUAGGAACAUUCAGCUCUAACCAUGGCCUGAGAAGCUGGAGGGCCCUUAUUUUGCCCCUUUCACCCUUCUUAUCCUAAACUUGAUCAUUCAAAAGGAUCCACACCCUCCUGCCCCCAACUCCACCCCAAUACCCUGUAUGUCAGAUAUGUUUGCAGAAGAACACACUUCAAAGUAAACCAAAUUACAUAGUUUAUUUAAAAAAAUUUUUUGUGAUAUAUUGGGAAGUCCUCACCCCCUGCUCCCCUGUCUCUGGCUGAGCACGGUGUCCGGGCGGAGUUGGGGGGUUGCCAAGAGGAGUUUCCAGAGUGGCUCUUGGGCAAGGCCUGAGAAACUACUCUACAUAGGCUUGUUUUUAGUGUGAGCUCCCUUUGCCUAACCAGUUCUAGUGGCUACCUCCCGGUUUCCUGCAGAAGAGGCAGGCUCCCUGGGAGCAGGGGCGCCCUCGCUUCCACUUCACCUCCUUUCCUAACUUUCUCUCUUUUGAGCACAUCUUCUGAGCCUCGCUCUCUCAUCUGAAAGUGGAGUGUAAGUCCAAGAAGAUUCAUUUAGACAAAGAAGGUGGAAAAAAAGGACUUUCUGGGCCAGCAAGUCGGAUGACCACCCUCCAAGGGGCAGAGGAGGGCCCAUUUUGUGAAGAAGAAAUCAACUACCCGGAAAACGCCACAGGAGGACAUGUUUCUGCAGAUGUAGUUGCCCUAGAAACAGAAGAGUAUGGGGGUGUGAAUGUCUUCUCUUUUGGGGGCAAACACUAUGUCCUUUUCUUUUUCUAGAUACAGUUAAUUCCUGGAAAUUUUAGCGAGUUUGUUCUUGUGGAUAUUUUGAACAAUAAAGAGUGAAAAUCACUUUGGAGUCACUUAAUCUUCGUUAGAAGGGCAGUUUCUUCCAGGGCCAUUUUCUUUCACCAGAUUUGUUUUUCCUCGUUCCCAAAUGAGGUAGUUUUAAAAAUCAAAGUCCACUUGCUAACUCACCUGGGAAAGAGACUGCGACAGAAGGAAGAGAAGUAAAUAGACAUCACUCUCAAACUAAAAGUGUAACUUUCAUUCCUGGCAGCUGAGAUUCAGAACACAAAGAAACAAACUCGUUUACCUUUGAGUAUUUCCCCCGUUUGGGUAAUUUAUCUAGAGCUUUCCCAACAAUUAAUCACAGCAUCUUGAAGUUGGAAAUGUAUGCUAUUAUUUUCAGCCUUACAAGGUUCGUCAAACUCUGCUUCUCUGGUUUUAAAAACUGUUUGCUUCUACAUAGCUAUGCCCGUUGCAACAUUUAUCACUCAAGCAGAAAAGCAACUCGUUUUCUCACAGCCUCAAAUGCCCCGUGUACAGUCACUGGAGCGAAUUUAUUUUUCUCUGUCUUUCCCAAAUGCCCUUGUCACCUCUGCCAGGGCCACAAGACUCGGGGCAAAACUUCGGAGGUUUGAGACCUCUUGAGUGUGUGGAUCGCUAUUAUUGUUAGUUUUUUUGUUGGGAGAAAUCGUGCUCGGUGAUCGCGUGCGGUUGUCUCUCUCUAAGCCGACUAGGGUUGCCUGCGCCUUCCUCAGCAGAAACUCCUAGAGGAAGCUAACCAUUUCCGCUGCCCGGGGCAAAGGGCUGAACGGUGUUGUCGGGUCUAGGGUUGGGGUGGGAAAGUGAGGACGGUAUGCGGAUCGGGGAGGGGGCAGUCAUCAUCUUCAACAAUAAAUUAAAAUAACCUGAUACCCCUUUAAUCCCUUCCAUCAACAGUGUCAACGCGCUAGAGAGGCCGUCUCACCUCCAAAGGUAUCUUCACUCCCGGAGGGCCCGGGCUCCCAGCCGCAGUCCCACACUGGGCCCGCGCGCCGGAUACGAGGUGCUCCGACGGCAAAAAUCCCAUACAUUUUUAACUACAGUGAUUACUAAAUUAAUAGCAGGCACUAAGACAGAUGUCAAAACGUCUUGAAAAUGUUUAUCUGUGAAUAAUUGAGAAGGUGGUGGGACGCAUUAUCUGAUUGUGUAAUGAAAUAUGUAUGAGGAACAGCUGUUUGCAACAGUCCCCUCCCGCCGCCUCCUCAGCCAAGGCCCUUCUCUAGGAAGCAGGAGUCGCGGCGAAGUUGGUCGCCUACUUCCGUCCACUUGGGAGCCCUCGCGGCCCCUCCCCGGCUGCUGGCAGAAUGGUGGCUCCAGCGCGCCCCAGAGUAGUCCGGUUUCCCGACGGACAACAGCAUGGAGUCCUCCUCAGCCUCGCUCUGUGGGCUCCGUGCCUGAGUGAGGCUCCACCGCCGGCCGCGCUGUCCCUCGCGCCUUCGGGGCCGGCCGCGGGCUCGGCCUGCGGGGACCGAGGGGAGCACUGGCCCGGGCGGCCGCGGAGGCCUGACGUGCGCCCACCGGGCGGUGCGGCCUGCUCGGAGGCGAGGCCCGGGAGCCCCGCGGCUCAGCGGGGCGGGCCUGGGGUCACCGAGGGGUGACGGGGCUCCGGAGAGGGCUUUGUUCGCGCUCUCGCCACACUGCGCACUUCCUUCCAGCCCCCUGCGGCCCCCACCCCAAACCUCCGCGCCCCCGCCCUGUUUGUUUUUCCAGCCCCGCGCCCUCCACCCCAACACGCAAACAGCCCUCGGGGCUGCGUCAGCGGCCUGAGGCCGUGGCCCAGGUCAGGCCUGAGUCCAAAUGGGGCCAGCACGGCGAGCCCUGGCCCCGCAGGAAGCGGUGUGAGGGGGAGAGGGAGCUCCAGGGCCUUCCUGGCGCGAGAGGGGCAGGCGAAGGCCGGGGGGAAGGUGGUCCAAUAGGGCGCACGGCCUGGGCGGGCGGCGAAGGCCCGAGGCCUGGGCUCGGAAGGGUGCGGGCGGCCUGCGCGGCUGCCCAGCCCCUGCCGCUGUCCCCAGCCCCAGCUGGACAGGGGAGGCGCGGCGGAGUGGGGGUGAGGAGGACGCCAGGAAGGGCCCCAUCGGGCCUGGGCCUUGAAG